CGGGAGGGGGGCAGACUCAUUCGCUCUAUGGGAUGACCGGGUGCAUGAACCACCUCUUCCUCAGCUGGAACAGUUGGGCCAGAGGAGAUGAUUGAAGCUUAGUGCCUAGUGCUCAAUACCUAUUUCCCCAAAACAAGAUUGGGUGGGCAAUCCGCUUCAAAUUCUGUUGGGGGGGGAGUGGCCGACAGCACAAGCGGGGAUGAACCGGAGAUGUAUUAAUACGUUUUGAUGAAGAGAGGCGCUAGGGAAUUAGGAUAUUAGGCAAACGCAACCUUUGAUUGGUUUGAUUCGCCCACCCAGCAGAGGGACUCAGCACUGGAGACUACAAGCCGUCAGAGUUCUUUAGGGUUUGCCCCCCCCUUAGACGCCCGGGACGGAUCGACGAAGGGAAGGAUUGCAUAAGAACUCUCGGCCCAAUAAGUCCAUAAGAAAGCUUUGAGUGAUCGGGCGGGCUCGGGAAGUCGAGUCGACCUUGAAACGGGUCCAGCAGCACCCCCUUACAGACUCUAUUUAUUGGUAAACCGGUCGGGAAGAGCAAGUUGAUGCCGGAUCGAGAGGAGGGGCAACCGCUCGCAUUUGACCGUAUGAAUAGAAUCUAUCGACAAGUCGAGCCUACGUAUACGUUAGAGCAAGACGAGAUAAUCCCAGUCGAGCGCUUAAGCGGAGCUUGUGGUCACUCGUUCCUCGCUUGUUCCAAUCCUAGUAAAGAGCUUCAGAUCCGAUUCUAAACUAAAUACGAUAUUCCAUGUAGGCCCUCACUAGCUCUUCGCUUGUAAGUACAAGGAGCAUGCCCGAGGGGGCUACUACGCUCACCGCGCACUUGCAUCACCACCUGAGCUUCGCUACCGUUUCUCGCCCAGCUCCUACGCCUACCACGAACUUGAAUCAUCACGUGGCUGCUAAAGCAAGCUAAGCUUCACACAGCCCUGAGGAAGCCAAAACACCCUCUCCUCUCACGGCCGAAGGCUCCGCUUAACGUUGGAGAGCUUUUAGAUCCCGCCCUAAAACGCCCAUUCUCCCAGAGUUCCGAAGUGAUCCUCAUUCUCACCGCAGUAAGAACGGGCAAGAAUCGCUUCGGUUGGACUUUAUAAUAGGUACGUAUCUGGCAGUGGUUCUUNN
Molecule: long non-coding RNA, 1119 nt
Filed under: Amborella trichopoda
Lineage: Eukaryota; Viridiplantae; Streptophyta; Magnoliopsida; Amborellales; Amborellaceae
Description: long non-coding RNA (ATRI_LNC002662)
Source: RNAcentral